AUUAUACCGUGAAACUGCGAAUGGCUCAUUAAAUCAGUUAUCGUUUAUUUGAUAGUACCUUACUACUUGGAUACCCGUGGUAAUUCUAGAGCUAAUACAUGCUAAAAACCCCGACUUCGGGAGGGGUGUGUUUAUUAGAUAAAAAACCAACGCCCUUCGGGGCUCCUUGGUGAUUCAUGAUAACCUCUCAGAUCGCACGGCCUUGCGCCGGCGACGGUUCAUUCAAAUUUCUGCCCUAUCAACUUUCGAUGGUAAGGUAUUGGCUUACCAUGGUUUCAACGGGUAACGGGGAAUUAGGGUUCGAUUCCGGAGAGUGAGCCUGAGAAACGGCUCACACAUCCAAGGAAGGCAGCAGGCGCGCAAAUUACCCAAUCCCGACACGGGGAGGUAGUGACAAUAAAUACUGAUACAGGGCUCUUUUGGGUCUUGUAAUUGGAAUGAGUACAAUUUAAACCUCUUAACGAGGAACAAUUGGAGGGCAAGUCUGGUGGACAUUCAGCUCCCAUUCUGCUGACGCCAGAGAUAGUCGGGCAGUUUCGUCAGAAGCUGUUACGCCGGCUAGUCGAGUACCCACUAAUUGAUGGGAGGGUACCGGCAAGACAACCUGGAUCGGGGAAGGCUAAGGCACUCAGUGCUAUGCUAAUCCCGAGCAGAGCUACCACGGAGCGAUUCGUGGAUAGCCUGUGUAGAGCGCGGUAAGGUGUCGGCCAACUCACGUAGUUGGCUUAAGGGACGUGCCAUUCCCACUCGAAAGAGUGGCUGCCAGCAGAAGCGCCCAUCACGCGAGCGCUGGCAGGUUUCAAACGUGCUUGCAAAGCACGCCGUUGAAAGUUACAUUAAAAGGCCAGCAGCCGCGGUAAUUCCAGCUCCAAUAGCGUAUAUUAAAGUUGUUGCAGUUAAAAGCUCGUAGUUGAAUCUUUGGCCUGGCUGGCGGGUCCGCCUCACCGCGUGCACUUGUCCGGCCGGGCCUUCUCUUCUG
This 979-nucleotide ribosomal RNA is filed under the name Dictyocheirospora xishuangbannaensis. Its description in RNAcentral is "bacterial SSU rRNA". It matches the Rfam family "Eukaryotic small subunit ribosomal RNA", at positions 73 to 702 of the family's 1831-position model. The record is from RNAcentral. Lineage: Eukaryota; Fungi; Ascomycota; Dothideomycetes; Pleosporales; Dictyosporiaceae.